RNAcentral lists this long non-coding RNA (647 nucleotides) under Ananas comosus (pineapple). RNAcentral's name for it is "long non-coding RNA (ACOM_LNC022344)". Lineage: Eukaryota; Viridiplantae; Streptophyta; Magnoliopsida; Poales; Bromeliaceae. The record is from RNAcentral.
UGAGGUGGCUUGGGAUUUGCUACCUCCACCUCCACUACCAACUUAUCAACCUCAAAUGUAGGCAUAAAACCUGGGGGAAGGGCCCAAAUGUAGGACAAGAUCACAACCUUGUGACAUAGAAUUAUCUACCUCCUGAUGGGCAAACGGGAUUCAAGCCCUAGCUACUGCUCCGGUGGUAUGGAACAAUGAGCUUUAUGCUCUAUGAUGCACGAAAACUUCAAAUUUCAAGCUGUACCUGUAUCGAAUACGUAUCGGACACCGAUACAUGCCCGAUAUAUGCCCGAUACAUAUCCGAUAUGGAAAUGAAGUAUCCGGCAUUUUAAAAAAUAAAAAAAAUAUCGAAUACGGCUUGGAUACGGGGGGAUACGGGGGGGAUACGGCCAGAUUCUUUUUUGGCCUAAAAUGAUCGAAAUUUUAAAUUUUUUUAAAAAGCCCACAUCCAAACCUACUGGAAAUAAGGACAAGAGUGAGAAAAACACCAAUCUCUAUUUAAUUUGUCAUUUAUUCUAUCUUUUUGCUCUUGAAUAGUAGAAAGCGCUCCCUCUCGUUCUAUCUCCACACAGUAUUAAGCCAUGAUUUAGUUUUUCACUGCUUCUCUUUUACUCUUUUUUAUCUAAUUUGUCAACCUCGCAUUAAGCAACAAAGGC